AGGGAAAGAGGGAGGAAGGAAGGAAAUAGGAAAGUAGAACGGGAAUGGGCCUUCGGGUGUUGAUGAGUGGUGAACGGGUGAGUAAUAUAUGGGAACGUGAUGGAUAGUGGGGGAUAAUGCGGCGAAAGCUUUGUUAAUACCGCAUACGGUCUACGGAUGAAAGCAGGGGACCGCAAGGCCUUGCGCGGACGGAGCGGCCGAUGGCAGAUUAGGUAGUUGGUGGGAUAAAAGCUUACCAAGCCGACGAUCUGUAGCUGGUCUGAGAGGAUGAUCAGCCACACUGGGACUGAGACACGGCCCAGACUCCUACGGGAGGCAGCAGUGGGGAAUUUUGGACAAUGAGCGCAAGCCUGAUCCAGCCAUGCCGCGUGCAGGAUGAAGGCCUUCGGGUUAUAACCUUCUUUUAUACUGAACGAAAAGCCUUCUUUUAAUACAGGAGGGUCAUGACGGUACCGUAAGAAUAAGCACCAACUCACUACGUC
This 482-nucleotide ribosomal RNA is filed under the name uncultured bacterium. Its description in RNAcentral is "partial 16S ribosomal RNA". It matches the Rfam family "Bacterial small subunit ribosomal RNA", at positions 38 to 507 of the family's 1533-position model. The record is from RNAcentral.